Molecule: non-coding RNA, 27 nt
Filed under: Homo sapiens (human)
Lineage: Eukaryota; Metazoa; Chordata; Mammalia; Primates; Hominidae
Source: RNAcentral
UGCAAGAUGGGUAAGGUGCGAGUGGCC